Long non-coding RNA from Onychostoma macrolepis, 1236 nucleotides. RefSeq lists it as uncharacterized. The transcript has 4 exons. The record is from RefSeq and is a predicted model, not a curated record. Lineage: Eukaryota; Metazoa; Chordata; Actinopteri; Cypriniformes; Cyprinidae.
UUUAAACUGGAGAGACGGCUGACAGGAAGAUGUCGUCAUCUCUAACCGUCACUCGCCACAGUUCUCAAGCAAGAAAGGCAGCGAGGGGUGGUGUGAUGUCAUUUGCAACAAGACGGCUGAUACUAAUAUGAGCCUAAAAUGAAGGACAAUAAUGGCAUCAGCCAUUCAAGUUAUGAUCCUGGCAGAUCUACUACUAUCUGAAAAGUAGUCUGCAGAUUUUUUCAAGAUACACAAGAUGGAGCGUGGAGAGACGGGACAUGGACCACAGUUUUUCAGCACCCACACCCCACACUCAAAUUCAUAUAGAAGUUCUCAAUUAUUAAAUGUUAAUAUGAUAGUUUAUAUUUAGCUGUGAAGUUAUAGUUCAUUGUCAUAAAUAUUAUUAUUAUUAUUAUUAUUAUUUUACAUGAUAUGCAAAUUUCACCAAUUUGUUCAAUGUGUUAAUGAACUUUUUGAAAGUGAUUAUCUUUAAUAAUUCAGAUACCUGUUGAAAUGCACAUGUAAUUACCGUAUUGUCCCGAAUAUAAGACGACCCUGAUUAUAAGACGACCCCCCUUUUUCCAGAUCUACCUUUUGGAAAAAGGCUUUUUGAAAAGCAAAUCUUGUUUUUUUUUUUUCUCUCUCUGUAAAAUAUUUUUUCUUAAAUUAUUUUCAAAUUGCAUAUUUUUCCUAUUUUAAUUUUUGUUUUGAAAGUAUGGUAAAUACUGGUAAAAUGUACCAGCAAUGACACUGAAAAAUAUACACUUUUUGAUAUAUAGCAUAAAACUAACAGGUAGCCCAUCUGAAUUAUAUAACAUUUAGGCUAUCCAUCUCAUAGUAGCCUACCAACAUUUUAUUAACAGUAGAAGUGAAAUCUUAUCGUAGUCUUCAAAUCUGGGUAUAGUCUUGUGUUUUAAAAUCACUUACAGAGGAAGUUUGUUCCCAUCAGGUUAACAUGACAGUCACGACUCAUGCCGCUGUAAGCUUUUCUUUUUCUUUUUUCUCUCGCGAUCUUUAUAACACACAUACAUUACAUAUUUCAUGGCACACUCGUUUUAUGCGUGUUUGGCGCCACCUAUUGUUGUGGGUGUAUUACUGACAUGUCAAAGUCUAGACCCCAAAUAUAAGACGACUGCGUUUUUUCAGAUGUAUUUCCAAGAAAAAAACACCGUCUUAUAUUCGGGUCAAUACAGUAUAUACUUGCUCGUAUCUGGAAGGCUGUGUUAAUAAAAAUGAUGUUGAAAGCGAAUGUUGCAA